GGAUGGACCUUUUGGGAGGUAACUGAAUCAUGAAGGCAGGUCUUUUCUGUGCUGUUCUCAUGAUAGUGAAUACAUCUCACAAGAUGUGAUGGUUCUAUAAGGAGGAGUUUCCCUGCAAAAGCUCUCUCUCUCUUUGCUUGCUGCCAUCCAUGUAAGGCAUGAUUUGCCCCUCUUUGCCUUCCACCAUAAUGUGAGGCCUCCACAACCAUGUGGAACUGGAAGUCUGUUAAGUCUCUUUCUUUUGUAAAUUGCCCAGUUUCAGGUAUGUUUUUAUCAGCAGUGUGA
Molecule: long non-coding RNA, 285 nt
Organism: Sapajus apella (tufted capuchin)
Lineage: Eukaryota; Metazoa; Chordata; Mammalia; Primates; Cebidae
Exons: 2
Source: RefSeq, a predicted model, not a curated record